GAUGAACGCUGGCGGCGUGCCUAAUACAUGCAAGUCGAGCGAACGGACGAGAAGCUUGCUUCUCUGAUGUUAGCGGCGGACGGGUGAGUAACACGUGGAUAACCUACCUAUAAGACUGGGAUAACUUCGGGAAACCGGAGCUAAUACCGGAUAAUAUUUUGAACCGCAUGGUUCAAAAGUGAAAGACGGUCUUGCUGUCACUUAUAGAUGGAUCCGCGCUGCAUUAGCUAGUUGGUAAGGUAACGGCUUACCAAGGCAACGAUGCAUAGCCGACCUGAGAGGGUGAGCGGCCGCACUGGAACUGAGACACGGUCCAGACUCCUACGGGAGGCAGCAGUAGGGAAGCUUCCGCAAUGGGCGAAAGCCUGACGGAGCAACGCCGCGUGAGUGAUGAAGGUCUUCGGAUCGUAAAACUCUGUUAUUAGGGAAGAACAUAUGUGUAAGUAACUGUGCACAUCUUGACGGUACCUAAUCAGAAAGCCACGGCUAACUACGUG
RNAcentral lists this ribosomal RNA (497 nucleotides) under uncultured bacterium. Its description in RNAcentral is "partial 16S ribosomal RNA". It matches the Rfam family "Bacterial small subunit ribosomal RNA", at positions 28 to 507 of the family's 1533-position model. The record is from RNAcentral.